RNAcentral lists this ribosomal RNA (440 nucleotides) under uncultured bacterium. RNAcentral describes it as "partial 16S ribosomal RNA". It matches the Rfam family "Bacterial small subunit ribosomal RNA", at positions 338 to 795 of the family's 1533-position model. The record is from RNAcentral.
CCUACGGGAGGCAGCAGUGGGGAAUAUUGCACAAUGGGGGAAACCCUGAUGCAGCGACGCCGCGUGAGUGAAGAAGUAAUUCGUUACGUAAAGCUCUAUCAGCAGGGAAGCAAAUGACGGUACCUGAGUAAGAAUCCCCGUCUAACUACGUGCCAGCAGCCGCGGUAAUACGUAGGGGGCAAGCGUAAUCCGGAUUUACUGGGUGUAAUGGGAGCGUAGACGGUUCGCCAAGUCUGGAGUGAAAUGCCGAAGCUUAAAUGCGGAACUGCUUUGGGAACUGGCGAACUAGAGUGCAGGAGGGGUAAGCGGAAUUCCUAGUGUAGCGGUGAAAUGCGUAGAUAUUAGGAGGAACACCGGUGGCGAAGGCGGCCUGCUGGACUGUGACUGACGUUGAGGCACGAAGGCGUGGGGAGCAAACAGGAUUAGAUACCCCAGUAGUC